GGCCUCGUAGUUCAAGGGACUAGAGCUUUGAUUUUACUAAAAUCUUCCCAUCGCUGUCAUAGGUUCGAAUCCCACCGAGGCCA
Molecule: transfer RNA, 83 nt
Filed under: Schistocephalus solidus
Lineage: Eukaryota; Metazoa; Platyhelminthes; Cestoda; Diphyllobothriidea; Diphyllobothriidae
Rfam family: tRNA
About the family: Transfer RNA (tRNA) molecules are approximately 80 nucleotides in length. Their secondary structure includes four short double-helical elements and three loops (D, anti-codon, and T loops).
Source: Rfam by way of RNAcentral